GAUGAACGCUAGCGGCAGGCUUAAUACAUGCAAGUCGUGGGGCAGCAUGAGUAGCAAUACUUGAUGGCGACCGGCAAACGGGUGAGGAACACGUACACAACCUUCCUUCAAGCGGGGAAUAGCCCAGAGAAAUUUGGAUUAAUACCCCAUAAUACAUUUGAUAAGGCAUCUUAUUAAUAUUAAAGCUUCGGCACUUGAUGAUGGGUGUGCGGCUGAUUAGAUAGUUGGCGGGUAACGGCCCACCAAGUCUACGAUCAGUAGCUGAUGUGAGAGCAUGAUCAGCCACACGGGCACUGAGACACGGGCCCGACUCCUAACGGGGAGGCAGCAGUAAGGAAUAUUGGACAAUGGACGAAAGUCUGAUCCAGCCAUGCCGCGUGAAGGAUUAAGGUCCUCUGGAUUGUAAACUUCUUUAUAUGGGACGAAAAAGGGCAUUCUUGUUCACUUGACGGUACCAUAUGAAUAAGCACCGGCUAACUCCGUGCCAGCA
Molecule: ribosomal RNA, 490 nt
Filed under: uncultured bacterium
Lineage: Bacteria
Description: bacterial SSU rRNA
Rfam family: Bacterial small subunit ribosomal RNA
Source: RNAcentral